CCUUCCCCCCCCACGAGGCGCGAAUUUCUUCCAUUUUGAAAGCUGUAUCUCCUGCUGUCGGCUUCCCAACGCGCUGUUUGAAAAGUUACAUGCUGACUUCCAACGCAUUACAACCAUCCCACUGGAAUCUACCUUCAUGACACAGUUGGAGAGCCAUUUAGCCCAACUGACGUCUAUCUUCCAGACGAAGGGUGGAGUUGCUGGCCAGAAACUAGCUAAACAUCUAAAGAUCUUGCAAGAGGAGACAAGUGAUCUUAAAUCCUUAUGCUGCGUUUUUCACCGGGCGGCGCAAAAAAUUCGCCAGAGUUGAAAUAUUUGAACUUUGCGAAUAUUUGCAACGCAGCAUAAAGUCUCUUUGCAUCCACCUGGGUGAGGAUGAGGGCCGGCUUGUUCGGGAGUAUAUGGAUAUCGAAGGAGACGACAUCCUGAGACCUGAACAAGCGGAGCAUGAACACAUGUCAUCAACAAGGAGGAGAAACGGGACGUUGGUGACGUUCACGGACUAAUCAUCCUCCAACUGGAUCUGUGGCCCCAGCUUGUGCAAAGAUUGUGGGAGUCAUCUACGCUCUGAACAUGGCUCAAAGAGCUAAGAUACUAUGAAUUCAUUCACAAAGGGAUCUUUCUAAUGGUGAACAUCUUUCCCCUCAAAUCCUCGGCCUAAAGAACAAAGAACAACAUGAAUGCUGGACUGAAGGAACUCUUCGGCUGCUCUUGUAAACUGGUGCCAUUAAAGCAAAAGAAGAGUACGAGACGACGUAAUUAAAAAAGCACCAGUCGAACAUCCCACUGGGGAAACGACGUGGCACACUGAAAAUAUGAUGUUUGUUUCAUUUAUUCAGUUUAUUUUUUAUAACCCAAUAUCACAAAUUACCAAUUUGCCUCCGAGGGCUUUACCAUCUGUACACAUACAACAUUUAUUGAUGUGACGCUCUCGGUUAUAUAUUUUACAUUCAGAUGUGGAAAAGAAUGUGGAAAUAUGUAAUUUCAUGUUUUUUUUUAUUUGCUAUGAAAAGCACUGUAAGAAGUUUUUAUGCUACACUGGAUGUUGCUAUUACAUUGUUUCAAUAAGAUUAAGUAAGA
This is a long non-coding RNA of Cyclopterus lumpus (lumpfish), 1080 nucleotides long. RefSeq lists it as uncharacterized. Lineage: Eukaryota; Metazoa; Chordata; Actinopteri; Perciformes; Cyclopteridae. The transcript is spliced from 4 exons. The record is from RefSeq and is a predicted model, not a curated record.